This 1136-nucleotide ribosomal RNA is filed under the name Lonsdalea populi. RNAcentral's name for it is "bacterial LSU rRNA". It matches the Rfam family "Bacterial large subunit ribosomal RNA", at positions 1805 to 2925 of the family's 2925-position model. The record is from RNAcentral. Lineage: Bacteria; Pseudomonadati; Pseudomonadota; Gammaproteobacteria; Enterobacterales; Pectobacteriaceae.
UACUAAAAACACAGGUCCGUGCGAAGUCGUAAGACGCUGUAUACGGACUGACGCCUGCCCGGUGCUGGAAGGUUAAGAGGACCGGUUAGAGCUCUUCGGAGUUCGAAGCUGAGAAUUUAAGCCCCAGUAAACGGCGGUGGUAACUAUAACCAUCCUAAGGUAGCGAAAUUCCUUGUCGGGUAAGUUCCGACCUGCACGAAUGGCGUAACGACUUCUCCACUGUCUCAACCGCGAACUCGGCGAAAUUGCAUUACGAGUAAAGAUGCUCGUUACGCGCAGCAGGACGGAAAGACCCCGGGACCUUUACUAUAGUUUGAUAUUGGUGUUCGGGACGGCUUGUGUAGGAUAGGUGGGAGACUGGGAAGCAUUCACGCCAGUGAGUGUGGAGUCGUCGUUGAAAUACCACUCUGGUCGUUCUGGAUUCCUAACCUCGGUCCGUGAUCCGGAUCAGGGACAGUGUCUGGUGGGUAGUUUAACUGGGGCGGUUGCCUCCUAAAGAGUAACGGAGGCGCUCAAAGGUUCCCUCAGCCUGGUUGGCAAUCAGGUGUUGAGUGUAAGUGCACAAGGGAGCUUGACUGCGAGACAGACAUGUCGGGCAGGUGCGAAAGCAGGAACUAGUGAUCCGGCACCUCAUUGUGGAAUGGGUGUCGCUCAACGGAUAAAAGGUACCCCGGGGAUAACAGGCUGAUCUUGCCCAAGAGCUCAUAUCGACGGCAUGGUUUGGCACCUCGAUGUCGGCUCGUCGCAUCCUGGGGCUGGAGUUGGUCCCAAGGGUUAGGCUGUUCGCCUAUUAAAGCGGUACGCGAGCUGGGUUUAGAACGUCGUGAGACAGUUCGGUCCCUAUCCGCUGCGCGCGUUGGAUAUUUGAGAAGUCCUGUCCCUAGUACGAGAGGACCGGGAUGGACUGACCUCUGGUGUGCCAGUUGUUCUGCCAAGGGCAUGGCUGGUUGGCUACGUCGGGAAGGGAUAACCGCUGAAAGCAUCUAAGCGGGAAGCCUGCUUCGAGAUGAGAUAUCCUUGCACCCUUGAGGUGUGUGAGGCCCCCAGUAGAUGACUGGGUUGAUAGCCAGAUGUGGAAGCACAGUAAUGUGUGGAGCUGACUGGUACUAAUGGCCGAUGACUUACAACAACAUUCU